Molecule: ribosomal RNA, 1246 nt
Filed under: human gut metagenome
Description: bacterial LSU rRNA
Rfam family: Bacterial large subunit ribosomal RNA
Source: RNAcentral
AAUCGAACCCGGAGAUAGCUGGUUCUCCUCGAAAUAGCUUUAGGGCUAGCCUCAUUUUAGUCUUAUGGAGGUAGAGCACUGAAUUUCCGCGGGGGCGUCAAAGCUUACCAAAGAAUAUCAAACUCCGAAUGCCAUGUAGAUGAUGAAUGGGAGUCAGACUGCACGAGAUAAGUUGGGUGGUCAAAAGGGAAAGAGCCCAGACCUACAGCUAAGGUCCCAAAGUGCGUGUUAAGUGGAAAAGGAUGUGGGAUUUCAAAGACAACCAGGAUGUUGGCUCAGAAGCAGCCAUACAUUCAAAGAGUGCGUAACAGCUCACUGGUCGAGAGGUCCUGCGCCGAAAAUGUCCGGGGCUGAAACACGACACCGAAGCUUAGGAAUCACAUAGUGAUUGGUAGAGGAGCAUUCUUAAGACCGACGAAGCUGUACCGGAAGGAGCAGUGGAGGGAUAAGAAGAGAGAAUGCCGGAAUGAGUAGCGAGAGGAAGGUGGGAAUCCUUCCGGCCGAAUAUCUAAGGUUUCCAGAGUAAAGCUGAUCUGCUCUGGGUAAGUCGGGGCCUAAGGAGAGGUCGAAAGACGUAUCCGAUGGACAACAGGUUUAGAUUCCUGUACCACAUAUAAACAGAACUGUGGGGACGCAUGUGGAAAGCAUAAGCCGGGAAUGGAAAUACCGGUACAAGCGGAAGAGGUGUCAGGCUGGCAAAUCCGCCUGAUAAGCCAAAGACGUGAUGUGUAGCGAAAUAAAAGUAGCGAAGUGUGUGAGCCAUGUGCCGAGAAAAGCCGCUAUCGUUUUAUAUGUGCCCGUACCGUAAACCGACACAGGUGGAUGAGGAGAGAAUCCUAAGGCCGGCGGGAGAAGCAUUGUUAAGGAACUCGGCAAAAUGACCCCGUAACUUCGGGAGAAGGGGUGCCCACGGGAGUGGGCCGCAGAGAAUAGGCUCAAGCAACUGUUUAGCAAAAACACAGGUCUAUGCGAAACCGAAAGGUGAGGUAUAUGGGCUGACGCCUGCCCGGUGCUGGAAGGUUAAGAGGAGAGGUUAGCGCAAGCGAAGCUUUGAAUUUAAGCCCCAGUAAACGGCGGCCGUAACUAUAACGGUCCUAAGGUAGCGAAAUUCCUUGUCGGGUAAGUUCCGACCCGCACGAAAGGCGUAAUGAUUUGAGCGCUGUCUCGACAAUGCACCCGGUGAAAUUGAAGUACCAGUGAAGAUGCUGGUUACCUGCGCCAGGACGGAAAGACCCCAUGGAGCUUU